This 274-nucleotide ribosomal RNA is filed under the name uncultured bacterium. RNAcentral's name for it is "partial 16S ribosomal RNA". It matches the Rfam family "Bacterial small subunit ribosomal RNA", at positions 523 to 796 of the family's 1533-position model. The record is from RNAcentral.
AUACAGAGGGUGCAAGCGUUAAUCGGAAUUACUGGGCGUAAAGCGCUCGUAGGCGGUUUGUUAAGUCGGAUGUGAAAGCCCCGGGCUCAACCUGGGAACUGCAUUCGAUACUGGCAAACUAGAGUAUAGUAGAGGCAAGUGGAAUUCCGGGUGUAGCGGUGGAAUGCGUAGAUAUCCGGAGGAACAUCAGUGGCGAAGGCGACUUGCUGGACUAAUACUGACGCUGAGGAGCGAAAGCGUGGGGAGCAAACGGGAUUAGAAACCCCAGUAGUCC